Molecule: ribosomal RNA, 737 nt
Filed under: Staphylococcus saprophyticus
Lineage: Bacteria; Bacillati; Bacillota; Bacilli; Caryophanales; Staphylococcaceae
Description: partial 23S ribosomal RNA
Rfam family: Bacterial large subunit ribosomal RNA
Source: RNAcentral
AGAUUAAGUUAUUAAGGGCGCACGGUGGAUGCCUUGGCACUAGAAGCCGACGAAGGACGUUACUAACGACGAUAUGCUUUGGGGAGCUGUAAGUAAGCUUUGAUCCAGAGAUUUCCGAAUGGGGAAACCCAGCACGAGUUAUGUCGUGUUAUCGAUAUGUGAAUACAUAGCAUAUCUGAAGGCAGACGCGGAGAACUGAAACAUCUUAGUACCCGCAGGAAGAGAAAGAAAAAUCGAUUCCCUGAGUAGCGGCGAGCGAAACGGGAAGAGCCCAAACCAACGAGCUUGCUUGUUGGGGUUGUAGGACACUCUAUACGGAGUUACAAAAGAACAGACUAGACGAAUCAUCUGGAAAGAUGAAUCAAAGAAGGUAAUAAUCCUGUAGUCGAAAGUUUGUUCACUCUUGAGUGGAUCCUGAGUACGACGGAACACGAGAAAUUCCGUCGGAAUCUGGGAGGACCAUCUCCCAAGGCUAAAUACUCUCUAGUGACCGAUAGUGAACCAGUACCGUGAGGGAAAGGUGAAAAGUACCCCGGAAGGGGAGUGAAAUAGAACUUGAAACCGUGUGCUUACAAGUAGUCAGAGCCCGUUAAUGGGUGAUGGCGUGCCUUUUGUAGAAUGAACCGGCGAGUUACGAUUUGAUGCAAGGUUAAGCAGUGAAUGUGGAGCCGUAGCGAAAGCGAGUCUGAAUAGGGCGUUGAGUAUUUGGUCGUAGACCCGAAACCAGGUGAUCUACC